This 252-nucleotide ribosomal RNA is filed under the name uncultured bacterium. Its description in RNAcentral is "partial 16S ribosomal RNA". It matches the Rfam family "Bacterial small subunit ribosomal RNA", at positions 527 to 779 of the family's 1533-position model. The record is from RNAcentral.
CGGAGGUGCAAGCGUUAUCCGGAUUCACUGGGUUUAAAGGGUGCGUAGGUGGAGUGGUAAGUCAGUGGUGAAAUCUCCAAGCCUUAACUUGGAAACUGCCGUUGAUACUAUCAUUCUUGAAUAUCGUGGAGGUAAGCGGAAUAUGUCAUGUAGCGGUGAAAUGCUUAGAUAUGACAUAGAACACCGAUUGCGAAGGCAGCUUGCUACACGAUCAUUGACACUGAGGCACGAAGCGUGGGAUCAAACAGGAUU